Molecule: ribosomal RNA, 564 nt
Filed under: uncultured Glomeromycotina
Lineage: Eukaryota; Fungi; Glomeromycota
Description: SSU rRNA
Rfam family: Eukaryotic small subunit ribosomal RNA
Source: RNAcentral
UUGGAGGGCAAGUCUGGUGCCAGCAGCCGCGGUAAUUCCAGCUCCAAUAGCGUAUAUUAAAGUUGUUGCAGUUAAAAAGCUCGUAGUUGAAUUUCGAGAUCAAAUUGUUGGUCGUGCCUCGGUACGUACUGGCAUUAUUGAUUUCUCCUUUCUGAAGAACCUUGAUGUCAUUAAUUUGGUGUCUUGGGGAAUCAGGACCGUUACUUUGAAAAAAUUAGAGUGUUUAAAGCAGGCUCACGCUUGAAUACAUUAGCAUGGAAUAAUGAAAUAGGACGUUUGAUUCUAUUUUGUUGGUUUCUAGGAUCGACGUAAUGAUUAAUAGGGAUAGUUGGGGGCAUUAGUAUUCAAUUGUCAGAGGUGAGAUUCUUGGAUUUAUUGAAGACUAACUACUGCGAAAGCAUUUGCCAAGGAUGUUUUCAUUAAUCAAGAACGAAAGUUAGGGGAUCGAAGACGAUCAGAUACCGUCGUAGUCUUAACCAUAAACUAUGCCGACUAGGGAUCGGAUGAUGUUAAUUUUUUAAUGACUCAUUCGGCGCCUUACAGGAAACCAAAGUGUUUGGGUUC